UGUUGUAGUUAAAAAGCUCGUAUUCGAAACGAGGAGCAAAUUUAUUGGUGGAGCGGACGGCGUCGGUUGGCGCAGGCGAGCAAUCGCAGGCGUCGGCGGCGUUUUUUGUCCCUCCACCGUUGCUCUUUUAACGAAGUAUCGGCGGCGCUUCGGCGUCGGUUUUACUUCUUUUUACUUUGAAAAAAUUAGAGUGUUCAAAACAAGGAAAUGCCAGAAGUGGCGGCGCCGCAAGGCGCGCGUCGCGGGCGGCAUUGCUUUUAACCUUUUGAAUAGUUCAGCAUGGGAUAAUAGAACAGGACCAAAGCUGUUUUUGAUUUUAUUGGUUUUGCGAAAACGCAAAUACACUAGCUUGGGUAAUGAUUAACAGGGACAGUUGGGGCUCUUGGUAUUUGACAGCUAGAGGUGAAAUUCUUGGAUUUGUCAACGACCAACUUCUGCGAAAGCAUUGAGCAAGGAUGUUUUCACUGAUCAAGAACGAAAGUUUGGGGAUCGAAGAUGAUUAGACACCGUUGUAGUCCAAACUAUAAACAAUGCCAGCCCUGGAUACGCGAAAGUUGAAUUUUGCUCGGUCGGCCGCGCGCCUCUGUGCGCGCGCGCCGUCGCCGAGCGUAAGACUUCGUGUGCACAGUAUUGAGAAAUUAGAAGCGUUUGGGUUCUAGGGGGAGUAUGGUCGCAAGACUGAAACUUAAAGGAAUUGACGGAAGGGUACCACAAGAUGUGGAACGUGCGGCUUAAUUUGACCCAACACUGGAAAACUUGCCAGGACAAGACAAAGUUAGGAUUGACAGAUUGAGAGCUCUUUCUUGAUUCUUUGGUUGGUGGUGCAUGGCCGCUCUUAGUUGGUGGUUUGAAUUGUCUGGUUAAUUCCGAUAACGAACGAGACCUCAGCUUGAUAAAUAGUUGAUUGUAGCAAUUUUCAAGGAACCUCGUUAUGCGUCGCUGGCGCGCGCGAGACUAAAGGCGUCAGCCGGGCGUGCAGCAAUGCGCGCACGGCGGGCGCUCUCACGCGCGCUGCGGCGCGUUCCUUAAAUUCAAUCUUUUCGGCGCCGCGAGGCGUCGAAACACUUCUUAGAAGGACUUUUUGUAUUGAAACAAGAGGAAGUUUGAGGCAAUAGCAGGUCUGUAAUGCCCUUAGAUGUUCUGG
Molecule: ribosomal RNA, 1144 nt
Filed under: uncultured soil eukaryote
Lineage: Eukaryota
Description: partial small subunit ribosomal RNA
Rfam family: Eukaryotic small subunit ribosomal RNA
Source: RNAcentral